UGAUUACAUAGGAACUAUAGAGCGCAGU
Molecule: small RNA, 28 nt
Filed under: Bombyx mori (domestic silkworm)
Lineage: Eukaryota; Metazoa; Arthropoda; Insecta; Lepidoptera; Bombycidae
Description: ovarian small RNA-32985
Source: RNAcentral